CGUCCGCGCCCGCCUCUCGGGGCGGCUCCUCAGGGCGGCCCGCCCCCGGUGUCCUCUGUCCCCGGCGUCCUGUGGCCUCGGUGUCCUCUGUCCCCGGUGUCCUGAGCCCCGAGUGUCCUAUGCCAUGUGCAUCCUUUAUCCCUGCUGUUCCAUGCCCCGAGUAUCCUGAGCCCUGGGUGUCCCCUUCCUUGUCUUCCCUGUGCCUGUCCCCUCUCAAUUUUAUCAUUAGAAUGUUAAAACGAAUUUGAUUUUUCCUUCUACACCUCAUCCCAUCCCUGGACUGCUUCGGUUUGCUAUUGUCAACCAUGUCACAACCUUCUAGAAAUUACUGUGUGUUGCUUUUCAGUGCCUUCAUUAAAAUGCAUCCCUGCCAGGGAGCUCUUUAUCUGUAUUAUACAUAUUAAUAAGGCUGGGUAGCAAUAAUUAAGGGAUGACUAACAUGUUCGUGAGUGAAAGUAUCCAGCAUGGGCUGGAAUUCAUAGGUAAAUAAGUUUUAUAUGUUAUUAAAAUUUGGGGAUGGCUGUUGCUCAUUUCAGUUCUUCCCUCUUUCCCUGGUGUAGCCAGAACUCUUCUCCCAACACUUUGAGAAACUUGUGAAGAGCUGAAGAGGAGACUGUGUCACUGUGCAGCAUUACAGAGAUCUUUUGCAUUUCCUGUGGGUUAUCAUGUGAAUUCUUGUGCUCUCUGUGGUGCAGGUGAUAAUGGAGAAGGAUGGAGUGGUGACAGAAAUCCAUGUAGAGCAGAAUACAUUAUUUGAAGAAGUCUGAGUUUCAGAGAGUUGGUGGCUGUGCUCAGCUUCCUGGAGGAGGAAUUGCAGAUGCAAACACUUGGAUGUUUUCCAGUAGAUAGCAUCAGUGGUCACAGGCAGAAUUUGCUGUAUGUAACAGAAGGUUUUCGCUCAGGCUUAAAAGAGGAAUUUAAUUGCAUUCUCAUGAAAGUUAAAUGCUGUUUGCUCAGAUUAAAGGAGGAAGAAACACUCUUCACAUUUCAGCCCCCACACUUCUGA
This 1006-nucleotide long non-coding RNA is filed under the name Parus major (Great Tit). Its description in RNAcentral is "lncRNA (ENSPMJG00000012365.1)". Lineage: Eukaryota; Metazoa; Chordata; Aves; Passeriformes; Paridae. The record is from RNAcentral.